UUAAUUAUUAAGGAAGAAGAACAGAGAUUGAGAUAUGAAUUUUCAGCAGAAGUAUAACUCAAUGUUUUCUGAGCCUUGGUGAGACUCUGCCUGUCCUCCUGAAGCCAUGUCCAUCCCAGUCUGUGGCUGUGAGAUGAUCUGGAUGGCCAGUGCCCAGCUCUGGAACACAGAGGAGUUUCAGUCCUGCUCCUUACUUUCAAAAAGGAGGCUUGGUAUCAUGGAAAGUCUUCUGCAGGAUUUCUGAAAUGAAGCACCACAAAUUCUAUCCACUCUACAUUUUGGUCAACUGAAUGGAGGCAAGGACCCACCUGAAAACAGCAGAGAAUAUUCCAGGCAUUUCAUCCUUCCAGACUCACUGAGAGAGCACUGGAAGGUGAUGAUGAAAAAUAAUCGGUCAACCCAGGUUAGUUAGGGGUUAAAUGAAUCAAAGUCAAGCCCAGCUUGCUGGGCUGCUGCUAGGCAACAAGUAACUCUGCAUUCAGAAAUUCCCCACUAAUUGAUUCUUGACACCAUUCCCCCUUGGUUUGUACAAAUAGGGAGCUGUUGCUGGGGGAUGGAGAGGAAAAGCUGGGGUGUGGUGAGCACCUGGCUCUGGCAUAUCCCAACAGGAUGAGUCCAUUAUGGUCAUAUCACAUGUGCCUCCAUGAUGUUGGGUGUGGGAUGUCAGAAGACCUUUCAUAGUUAGGAGAGCAACUGUUAUGAAGCAUCUAGAUUCACGCCCUAUUCCCACGGGACAGCCUCUAAGCAGCAGGGGAGCCGACCAGUGUGUAACUUUACCAAGGAUUUUCAAGGCUGCCUGCUGCCAGGUGUCUUCCAGGCCUGCCUGCAGCCUGAGGCCAGUUCAGGGGUUCUUCCUCAGCAACCCUGGGUUGGCCAGACUGUCCUGGGCUAUCAUAUGCCCCUGUUCCACAAGGAAUCCCUCUACACAGCACCACCAGCAUUGCUAUAAAAUACCAGAUUCCACCUACUAACCAAGCAACUGAGUAAGGGCUGAUCCCCCUCCAGCAGGGUCUUCCUCACAGUUUACUGUAUGGGUCUCUUACCAAGAAUUUUCUAGUACAAAGUAGAUCCUAGAAAUUUCCAGU
Molecule: long non-coding RNA, 1085 nt
Organism: Corvus hawaiiensis (hawaiian crow)
Lineage: Eukaryota; Metazoa; Chordata; Aves; Passeriformes; Corvidae
Exons: 3
Source: RefSeq, a predicted model, not a curated record